RNAcentral lists this ribosomal RNA (253 nucleotides) under uncultured bacterium. Its description in RNAcentral is "partial 16S ribosomal RNA". It matches the Rfam family "Bacterial small subunit ribosomal RNA", at positions 524 to 776 of the family's 1533-position model. The record is from RNAcentral.
AACGUAGGAGGCAAGCGUUAUCCGGAUUUACUGGGCGUAAAGGGCGUCUAGGUGGUUGGGAAAGUUGGCUGUGAAAGCUCCUGGCUCAACUGGGAGAGGUCAGUCAAAACUACCUGACUUGAGGGUCGGAGAGGGGUGUGGAAUUCCCGGUGUAGCGGUGGAAUGCUUAGAGAUCGGGAGGAACACCAGUGGCGAAGGCGACACCCUGGCCGACAACUGACACUGAAGCGCGAAAGCGUGGGGAGCGAACAGG